Molecule: long non-coding RNA, 444 nt
Filed under: Marmota marmota marmota (Alpine marmot)
Lineage: Eukaryota; Metazoa; Chordata; Mammalia; Rodentia; Sciuridae
Description: lncRNA (ENSMMMG00000016853.1)
Source: RNAcentral
CGAUGCACUGUGUCCCCGCAGACCACCUCCUCCACCCUGAAGGGGGCCAUCCAGCUGGGCAUCGGCUACACCGUGGGCAACCUGAGCUCCAAGCCCGAGCGGGAUGUGCUCAUGCAGGACUUCUACGUGGUGGAGAGCAUCUUCUUCCCCAGUGAAGGCAGCAACCUCACCCCCGCCCACCACUUCCAGGACUUCCGGUUCAAGACCUACGCGCCCGUGGCCUUCCGCUACUUCCGGGAGCUCUUUGGGAUCCGGCCUGACGACUACUUGUACUCCCUGUGCAACGAGCCACUCAUUGAGCUGUCCAACCCGGGCGCCAGCGGCUCCCUGUUCUACGUCACCAGUGACGACGAGUUCAUCAUCAAGACUGUCAUGCACAAGGAGGCCGAGUUCCUGCAGAAGCUGCUGCCCGGCUACUACAUGGUGCGCGGCCUGCGCAGCCCC